RNAcentral lists this ribosomal RNA (585 nucleotides) under uncultured bacterium. RNAcentral describes it as "partial 16S ribosomal RNA". It matches the Rfam family "Bacterial small subunit ribosomal RNA", at positions 355 to 1375 of the family's 1533-position model. The record is from RNAcentral.
UGGGGAAUUUUGGACAAUGGGCGAAAGCCUGAUCCAGCAAUGCCGCGUGUGUGAAGAAGGCCUUCGGGUUGUAAAGCACUUUUGUCCGGAAAGAAAUCCUUGGCUCUAAUACAGUCGGGGGAUGACGGUACCGGAAGAAUAAGCACCGGCUAACUACGUGCCAGCAGCCACGGUAAUACGUAGGGUGCAAGCGUUAAUCGGAAUUACUGGGCGUAAAGCGUGCGCAGGCGGUUUGCUAAGACCGAUGUGAAAUCCCCGGGCUCAACCUGGGAACUGCAUUGGUGACUGGCAGGCUAGAGUAUGGCAGAGGGGGGUAGAAUUCCACGUGUAGCAGUGAAAUGCGUAGAGAUGUGGAGGAAUACCGAUGGCGAAGGCAGCCCCCUGGGCCAAUACUGACGCUCAUGCACGAAAGCGUGGGGAGCAAACAGGAUUAGAUACCCUGGUAGUCCACGCCCUAAAACGAUGUCAACUAGUUGUUGGGGAUUCAUUUCCUAGUAACGUAGCUAACGCGUGAAGUUGACCGCCUGGGGAGUACGGUCGCAAGAUUAAAACUCAAAGGAAUUGACGGGGUCAUAGCUGUUUCCU